RNAcentral lists this ribosomal RNA (473 nucleotides) under Zenopontonia soror. RNAcentral's name for it is "partial 16S ribosomal RNA". It matches the Rfam family "Bacterial large subunit ribosomal RNA", at positions 1925 to 2606 of the family's 2925-position model. Lineage: Eukaryota; Metazoa; Arthropoda; Malacostraca; Decapoda; Palaemonidae. The record is from RNAcentral.
AAAGGGCCGCGGUAAUUUGACUGUGCAAAGGUAGCAUAAUCAUUAGCUUUUUAAUUGAAAGCUGGAAUGAACGGCUAGAUGAGAAAUAUACUGUCUUUUUAUAUCUAAUGGAAAUUAACUUUUAAGUGAAAAGGCUUAAAUUUUUUGGGGGGACGAUAAGACCCUAUAAAACUUAAUAUUAAUUUAGUUAGAAUUAAAAGUUAAGUUUAACUUAUUUAAUCAAAUUUAAUAUUUUGUUGGGGAGACAUAGAUAUAAUUUUGUAACUGUCUAUUAAAAAUUUUAUAUUUAUAAUUACUUCACGAUCCUCUAUUAGAGAUUAAAAGACUAAGUUACUUUAGGGAUAACAGCGUAAUUUCCUUUGAGAGUUCCUAUCGACAAGGAGAGUUGCGACCUCGAUGUUGAAUUAAGGUUUCAGAAAGGUGUAGUCGUUUUUCUAGUAGGUCUGUUCGACCUUUAAAAUCUUACAUGAUUU